CCUUCCCGCCACGUAUCAGGAGGGACGUCUCUCCACGCGCCCCUCUCCCCGCGGGCGGCCCCGUCUCUUCUCCCGCGGGCGGCCCCGCAUUCUGUGCGCCCUGUGCACGAGGAGGCUGCCUCCCGGAGCCCGGGGACGGAUGCCACAGCCUGGCCGGCGCUGCUGCGGCUCUGGUGCCCCCUCCCAGCAGGCGCCCCUUACACCCUGAUGCCCCCCAGUACCCCGAGGCCCCCGGCAUCCCGAGUCGCCCACCCCCCGCACCCGAGGGCUUGCACAGGCACCGGUCCCCCCCGCCUGGCGCCCUGCUACGGAAGGACGUGUCCGUGAUGCCCCCGCGUGUCCACAGAGCGCACACCUCUACCUGUGUCCCCGCCCCCCGCAGCCUGGUGUGCCGGAGAGCUCCGGGGCGGCUGCAGUGUCACGUCGCAGGGGGCCUCGGGGUGCCAGGGGGCCUCGGGGUGUAAGGGGGGGGGAGCCCCGCACGACCUGGUGCAGGUGUGUCGGAGAGCUCCGGGGCAGCUGCCAGAAGCGCUUCCCGCGGGUGGAGCCGUGUCCUCGCGUCCCGUGGGUUCACAGCGGUGGUCAGGAAUAAAUAGGAGCAACGUGGGUGGCAGGAGAGUGUGUGCUGGAAGCAGCAGGGGCCGCCAAGGGACAUCCAGGCAGAGCACUGGAGAAGGGCGGGCACACUUGCCGUCGGAAGUGGCCAGAGGUGGGAGUCCUCUCCCUCCCCAGCUCACCAACCAUCACGACGGUCCUUCCAAACCCGACAGACAUGGAAAACUGAAGUGCAGGGAGGUUAAAGACAGCCCAGGAUCACACAGCUCCCGAGUCACCCCGGCUCCGAAGGUCCAGUAACACCUGCCCGAGUGGAAGGGCGCUGGGAAGAGUAACGAGCCCUAAUAACGAGCAGGAAUGGGGAGCAGGGAGCAGCUGCUUUCGCGGAGAUCAGUUUUACUCAUUACUCAGGUUCCCCUAAGGCCUGGCCGUGAAACACCUCUUCCUCCUGAGACACCUGCCUUGGCUCCCAGGCCCUGGCGCUUGCUCGUGGGAGCCUGCUCAAAACAACGUGGGGACGGGCCUGGAAAAUGAGACACGCGACAGGAGGAUGUGGGGAGGGAGGAGCCCAAGGGCAGAUAUCGAGGAACAUAAAUGCCCCGAGAGAGAA
Molecule: long non-coding RNA, 1165 nt
Organism: Canis lupus familiaris (dog)
Lineage: Eukaryota; Metazoa; Chordata; Mammalia; Carnivora; Canidae
Exons: 2
Source: RefSeq, a predicted model, not a curated record